ACCGUGUCACUACUAAAAGUGACCGUGUGACACAGUCUUGACCAAUGAAAUUUAAGAAUGAAUUUCUAAAAAAGCCUUUGCUUUCUUAUUAAAGACAUUAGCAUAAGAGGAGAGAAACUUAAUGACAUUCUUUAUCUCAGCUUCCUGUGUUGCUGCUGGAUGUGAUUUUGGAGCUUCAGCACUCCUUUUGGGACCAUUAAGUAAUGUGCAUGGAAGUGAAAAGCAAAAAAAUUAAGAAGUUUAAAGAACAAUUGUAUGCCAUUUGUGAAGCUGAAAACCUCUGGAUAAUCAUAUCUCCUGCUUUUGAUCAGUCUCAACUCUUGAAUGGACCUUAUUCACUUAAACUAAAAAUCACAUUGUGGCAUGACUAUUUCUCAGAAAAGCCAGAAAUGUGUAAUUAUGAGAAUUUAUUCCUUUUUUUUUGAGACGAAGUUUCGCUCUUGUUACCCAGGCUGGAGGGCAAUGGCGCAAUCUCGGCUCACUGCAACCUCCGCCUCCUGGGUUCAGGCAAUUCUCCUGCCUCAGCCUCCUGAGUAGCUGGGAUUACAGGCACGCGCCACCAUGCCCAGCUGAUUUUUUGUAUUUUUAGUAGAGACGGGGUUUCACCAUGAUGACCAGGAUGGUCUCGAUCUCUUGACCUCGUGAUCCACCCACCUCGGCCUCCCAAAGUGCUGGGAUUACAGACAUGAGCCACCGCGCCCGGCCGAGAAUUUAUUCUUUUUAAAGCACUGAUUGUAAGCAGAGGGAAAGCACCAAAGAACCCCAAUCUAAUAUUUUUAAUGUACACUUUUCACAUUCUAUUAAAAAUUUUAGUGUUUUAAUAAAUGUAGGAAGACAAAUGGGAAAAUGAAAUUUCUUAGGGAAAUAAAUAUACAUAAAUAUGCACAUUUUCUAAAUGAUGAUUAAUAAUAUAGGUAAAGCCCAUAUAUAUAUGCAGUGUUAUUUAUCAGGCUAUAUCCAAGCAGGAUAUAAGAAAAAGUAUUAUGCAGCAUGUAAGCCAGCUUCUAACCAGCUUUGGCACCUAAACAGGAGUCAUAUUUUUGGAGGCAUGAGUUUGUUUUGAACAAUGAAUCAAAUGUCUUCUGCACAGAUAGGGUUUUAUUUAACACCAGAGCCAUGUCUUUUUCUACUUACAUUUCCUGGAAAAUGAGUACAAAUUUUGCAACCAGUCUAUGAAUAAUUAAAUACUUUCUCAUGAAUGGCAGACUUCAGAUGGUUCAGAAUUUCAAGCUGGAUAAACAAGUAUAUAUUUGUAUGUCUGUCUAGGUUUAUGUGUACCUAUACUCCAUUCCAUAAACCAUUUCACAGAAAUGUUUCUAAAGCCCUCUCCUGCCUCUCACUUCCCACAUUUCAUGAAAAGAUGUGUGUGGAGGAUGGUGGCUCUUCAUAGGAUUCUAUUUAAGUGCUUCUGUCUUGAGACCAGUCACAAGGCUACUUUAGAAAGUAGAGCAUGCAUUUUCUCAAGAUGCUCCCCACAUCAGUAACACUCUGUUUGAAGUAGAGAGUGCUUUUGGUUUAUCAGAGAAAUUAUAGAUACUUCUUACCAGUGAAAAGGGUCAAAGAAUACUUUGAUGAUUGUGAACCAGGAUGAGAAAAAAGACUUCUAUGUUCUAUUAAAGGAGGAAGUAGAAGUGGAAACCAGUUAUUGUGCAUAUGGCAUGUGAUGUGUAAGGUUGGAUGCUGAUAAGUCAUGAGGUGCCUGGCCUUUCCUCUUGUUUCAUUCAGCAUCUAAUUUUUAAAAAAUUCUUCAGUUAUGUCCAAUGCCGCCAAAUGAAAAUGUUCAAAUCAUCUCUGACUCCCCUCACCCCAUAUACAACUCAGGUGGACAAAGAGCAGAUCACCCAGGAUUUCUUUUCCAGACACAGAAGAUAGAGUUGGUCUUCAAAUGGCCAUUGAGGUGACUCUAGCAUUUUUUGGUUAAAGACUCUCCAUUUUUUUUCAGUUUCUCAGACACUGGAUUACUUAGAAACUACAGAGAUAAUAAGAACAUUUAAAUUCUAUGCAUUGUUUAAAGAAGAUUAAACCAAAGUAGCCAUGAUUUGUUACUUAAUAUAUAGAACUUUAGAUAGAUAGAUGAUAGAUAGAUAGAUAGAUAACACUCUUCCUUUAAAAAAUAUUUUAUUUUUAAUUAUUAUGAAUACAUAAUAGUUGUACAUAUUUAUUUUCCCUUUGAGUUUUGAUUUGUCGAGGAGAUUUUGGGCUUUGUUUUUAUCUUACGUGAUUCAUUGACAACGAUAUCAGUCAGUAGUUGGCUUACCAUGCCUGGAUAGGGCAUCCUUGCCUGAAUAGAGUCUAAACCGUGCAAAGAGACAUCAUAAAUCAAGCAUAUGAGGUUAUUUCUAUUCAAACAUAUAAUUGUACAAAAAGCAAAUACAUGUUUUUCCUGUAAAAGUGCAGUGUAGUUGCCUUUUAUGUGUCUUUGACUUACCUAAAUUUUCAUUACUACAAAAUAAAAGUCUGUAUUGGUAAAUUUUAAAAUAAUGUUAAUUUGAAAAUGAUAGUGAAUUAUAAUUGUGUUUGUACUGUUGUCUAUGGUGGCACCACCGUGUCAAACAGAAAUACCAGCUCUGCUCUAAGGAAAUAAACCUUGGAGUUCUCAAGUGUUUAUUAUGCAAGAGCUUCAGAGAUGUAUGCAUUGCA
Callithrix jacchus (white-tufted-ear marmoset) is the source of this 2640-nucleotide long non-coding RNA. The record is from Ensembl. NCBI's taxonomy places the organism in Eukaryota, Metazoa, Chordata, Mammalia, Primates, Cebidae.